GAAGCCUUGCUUCUCUUGAGAGCUGGCGGACCGGGUGAGUAAUGCCUAGGAAUCUGCCUGGUAGUGGGGGAUAACGCUCGGAAACGGACGCUAAUACCGCAUACGUCCUACGGGAGAAAGCAGGGGACCUUCGGGCCUUGCGCUAUCAGAUGAGCCUAGGUCGGAUUAGCUAGUUGGUGUGGUAAUGGCUCACCAAGGCGACGAUCCGUAACUGGUCUGAGAGGAUGAUCAGUCACACUGGAACUGAGACACGGUCCAGACUCCUACGGGAGGCAGCAGUGGGGAAUAUUGGACAAUGGGCGAAAGCCUGAUCCAGCCAUGCCGCGUGUGUGAAGAAGGUCUUCGGAUUGUAAAGCACUUUAAGUUGGGAGGAAGGGCAGUAACCUAAUACGUUGCUGUCUUGACGUUACCGACAGAAUAAGCACCGGCUAACUCUGUGCCAGCAGCCGCGGUAAUACAGAGGGUGCAAGCGUUAAUCGGAAUUACUGGGCGUAAAGCGCGCGUAGGUGGUUUGUUAAGUUGGAUGUGAAAUCCCCGGGCUCAACCUGGGAACUGCAUUCAAAACUGACAAGCUAGAGUAUGGUAGAGGGUGGUGGAAUUUCCUGUGUAGCGGUGAAAUGCGUAGAUAUAGGAAGGAACACCAGUGGCGAAGGCGACCACCUGGACUGAUACUGACACUGAGGUGCGAAAGCGUGGGGAGCAAACAGGAUUAGAUACCCUGGUAGUCCACGCCGUAAACGAUGUCAACUAGCCGUUGGGAGCCUUGAGCUCUUAGUGGCGCAGCUAACGCACUAAGUGACCGCCCGGGGGUUCCCC
This 816-nucleotide ribosomal RNA is filed under the name Pseudomonas migulae. Its description in RNAcentral is "bacterial SSU rRNA". It matches the Rfam family "Bacterial small subunit ribosomal RNA", at positions 64 to 885 of the family's 1533-position model. Lineage: Bacteria; Pseudomonadati; Pseudomonadota; Gammaproteobacteria; Pseudomonadales; Pseudomonadaceae. The record is from RNAcentral.